GCAUAAACUUAUAUCUUUUAGAAAGAAUAGAUAUAAUAUGUGAAAUUAUCUCUAAUUUGAUAAAUAAUUUCUAUUUAUAUAGGAGGCAAUUAUUUAUUAUUUUUUUCUCAAUUUAGUAAUAUAGAACUGAGUAUAUUUCAUGUUUUAAUUGAUAAAGUACUUAAAUAAUUAGUUUUCCUUAAGAUAAGUUUUUACUUUUAUUGAAAUAGUGUUUCUCAUUUCUAAACAAUAUAAAUUAGCAGUCUGGAGAUUAUUCUUAUAUAUAUCAUUAUCUAAAGGUACUGUUUUCAUCACAUUCGUAUGGAAUACUAUAUUUCUUGAUUACUUGUUCAUAUAUAUGCAUUAAUUUUAAUCAUAAUUUAAAAUCAGGAAAAUAAGAGGUUAGGAUACUAUGAAUUUGUGUAUUAUAUCUUACAAAAAUUGAACUUUUUCUAUUCAUAAUAAACAAUCGUUUUAA
RNAcentral lists this long non-coding RNA (457 nucleotides) under Bos taurus (domestic cattle). Its description in RNAcentral is "long non-coding RNA NONBTAT026980". Lineage: Eukaryota; Metazoa; Chordata; Mammalia; Artiodactyla; Bovidae. The record is from RNAcentral.